RNAcentral lists this ribosomal RNA (1480 nucleotides) under uncultured organism. Its description in RNAcentral is "SSU rRNA". It matches the Rfam family "Bacterial small subunit ribosomal RNA". The record is from RNAcentral.
GCUGGCGGCGUGCCUAAUACAUGCAAGUCGAGCGAGCGGAACUAACAGAUUUACUUCGGUAAUGACGUUAGGAAAGCGAGCGGCGGAUGGGUGAGUAACACGUGGGGAACCUGCCCCAUAGUCUGGGAUACCACUUGGAAACAGGUGCUAAUACCGGAUAAGAAAGCAGAUCGCAUGAUCAGCUUUUAAAAGGCGGCGUAAGCUGUCGCUAUGGGAUGGCCCCGCGGUGCAUUAGCUAGUUGGUAAGGUAAAGGCUUACCAAGGCGAUGAUGCAUAGCCGAGUUGAGAGACUGAUCGGCCACAUUGGGACUGAGACACGGCCCAAACUCCUACGGGAGGCAGCAGUAGGGAAUCUUCCACAAUGGACGCAAGUCUGAUGGAGCAACGCCGCGUGAGUGAAGAAGGUUUUCGGAUCGUAAAGCUCUGUUGUUGGUGAAGAAGGAUAGAGGUAGUAACUGGCCUUUAUUUGACGGUAAUCAACCAGAAAGUCACGGCUAACUACGUGCCAGCCAGCCGCGGUAAUACGUAGGUGGCAAGCGUUGUCCGGAUUUAUUGGGCGUAAAGCGAGCGCAGGCGGAAGAAUAAGUCUGAUGUGAAAGCCCUCGGGCUUAACCGAGGAACUGCAUCGGAAACUGUUUUUCUUGAGUGCAGAAGAGGAGAGUGGAACUCCAUGUGUAGCGGUGGAAUGCGUAGAUAUAUGGAAGAACACCAGUGGCGAAGGCGGCUCUCUGGUCUGCAACUGACGCUGAGGCUCGAAAGCAUGGGUAGCGAACAGGAUUAGAUACCCUGGUAGUCCAUGCCGUAAACGAUGAGUGCUAAGUGUUGGGAGGUUUCCGCCUCUCAGUGCUGCAGCUAACGCAUUAAGCACUCCGCCUGGGGAGUACGACCGCAAGGUUGAAACUCAAAGGAAUUGACGGGGGCCCGCACAAGCGGUGGAGCAUGUGGUUUAAUUCGAAGCAACGCGAAGAACCUUACCAGGUCUUGACAUCUAGUGUCAUUUGUAGAGAUACAAAGUUCCCUUCGGGGACGCUAAGACAGGUGGUGCAUGGCUGUCGUCAGCUCGUGUCGUGAGAUGUUGGGUUAAGUCCCGCAACGAGCGCAACCCUUGUUAUUAGUUGCCAGCAUUAAGUUGGGCACUCUAAUGAGACUGCCGGUGACAAACCGGAGGAAGGUGGGGAUGACGUCAAGUCAUCAUGCCCCUUAUGACCUGGGCUACACACGUGCUACAAUGGGCAGUACAACGAGAAGCGAGCCUGCGAAGGCAAGCGAAUCUCUGAAAGCUGUUCUCAGUUCGGACUGCAGUCUGCAACUCGACUGCACGAAGCUGGAAUCGCUAGUAAUCGCGGAUCAGCACGCCGCGGUGAAUACGUUCCCGGGCCUUGUACACACCGCCCGUCACACCAUGGGAGUCUGCAAUGCCCAAAGCCGGUGGCCUAACCUUCGGGAAGGAGCCGUCUAAGGCAGGGCAGAUGACUGGGGU